GCCCUUUGGAAGGGUUAGUUUUUGUGUUUGAAAUGUGAGGAUGUGUUUGGGUAAUUCUCUGGCCAAGGGUUGAGGAUGAAGAGCUGUUUGUGGGUAAUUUGGUGAAUGGUUUAGGCUGAUUCUGUAAGGCUGCUAUAGUCACCUCCUGCAAACGCGGCAGUAAGCCUCUGCCACUGACUUCAGCUUAAAUAUCCUUAUGGGGCAUUUUAAGUUCAUCUACCAGCCCUGAAAGAAAGAACCCUAAGGCUUGGUCUUCCUUAAUUUCAGCCUUAGGAUAUUACUUGUCAUAAGCAACAAGGCAAGUUGUAAAGAGCUUACCAGCUUCAAAUUGCGAAAAUCAGAAGGGGGU
This 349-nucleotide unclassified non-coding RNA is filed under the name Hevea brasiliensis (rubber tree). Lineage: Eukaryota; Viridiplantae; Streptophyta; Magnoliopsida; Malpighiales; Euphorbiaceae. The record is from RNAcentral.